This is a long non-coding RNA of Periophthalmus magnuspinnatus, 455 nucleotides long. RefSeq lists it as uncharacterized. Lineage: Eukaryota; Metazoa; Chordata; Actinopteri; Gobiiformes; Gobiidae. The transcript has 4 exons. The record is from RefSeq and is a predicted model, not a curated record.
GAGCUCACGGCGUGCAUUGUUCUAUCGAAACUUAGAAAUCCGAAGCAGAUUUCCGUGUAAAACUAAGAGGUCGGAGCAGGUUGUUAUUUGUGCCCCGCUUCGUUCCAGCUCAAACAGGACUUUGACACAAAGCGCACGGCACUACAGACGGGGGCGGGGUCUCCAUGGCGCACACGGUACCUGACGCACAGUGGUGGUCGAGAUUCGAGACCUUGCAGCCAUACUUUGCUCACAACGUCUCACACAUGCACAAGGCCCUACAUGAACUUGAGGGCAGGAGAAUCAUACCACCAACCUUCCAGUUCAAGGUAAAUAUGGGGAGCCCUUGAAACAAAGAGAUGAGUCAAACAUCAGACUAUGGGUGUGUUCACAAAUCCUCGACACCACCAUCUCUCAACACCACCAUCUCUCCAAGGAUCACUAUGGUUUGAGAGAAGACUUACCGUUCCCAGCAG